Molecule: ribosomal RNA, 298 nt
Filed under: uncultured bacterium
Lineage: Bacteria
Description: partial 16S ribosomal RNA
Rfam family: Bacterial small subunit ribosomal RNA
Source: RNAcentral
CCUACGGGAGGCAGCAGUGAGGAAUAUUGGUCAAUGGGCGGGAGCCUGAACCAGCCAAGUCGCGUGAAGGAAGAAGGUACUUAGUAUUGUAAACUUCUUUUGUCGGGGAACAAAGGCGGAGACGCGUCUCCGGAUGAGUGUACCCGAAGAAAAAGCAUCGGCUAACUCCGUGCCAGCAGCCGCGGUAAUACGGAGGAUGCGAGCGUUAUCCGGAUUUAUUUGGUUUAAAGGGAGCGUAGGCCGGUCUUUAAGCGUGCCGUGAAAUUUUGUGGCUCAACCAUGAGAGUGCGGCGCGAAC